Molecule: long non-coding RNA, 294 nt
Organism: Haliotis rubra (blacklip abalone)
Lineage: Eukaryota; Metazoa; Mollusca; Gastropoda; Lepetellida; Haliotidae
Exons: 3
Source: RefSeq, a predicted model, not a curated record
AACCUGGAGUUACUUUACUACAUAUUCCACAGAGCUGAUUGUCCAGACGGAUGGGUAUACCACAAACCAACGAAUAAAUGUUUCUAUCUUUUCGGUCAACUGAAGACGAACAUUGCUGCUAAAAACGCUUGUUUGGGUCUGAGCGGCAGGUUGUUUAAUAUCUACUCGGCAGCACAGAAUGGCCUAGUGUACACUAUGGUCAAACGAAGAGGGAAAGACAUUUGGAUCGGAAUCACCGCUGGUGGCGAUGUCUUGAAAUGGCACGAAGGGCAGGCGCCAGUCUUCUUCUACUGG